RNAcentral lists this ribosomal RNA (172 nucleotides) under Duellmanohyla soralia (Copan brook frog). RNAcentral's name for it is "partial 16S ribosomal RNA". Lineage: Eukaryota; Metazoa; Chordata; Amphibia; Anura; Hylidae. The record is from RNAcentral.
ACGUGAUCUGAGUUCAGACCGGAGUAAUCCAGGUCGGUUUCUAUCUAUAAAGGGCUUUUUCUAGUACGAAAGGACCGAAAAAGCACGGCCCAUGCUAAAAGUAAGCCGCACUCAUAAUUUAUGAUUCAAACUUAAUAAAUACCCGACCUCCAACUUUAUUCUAGACAAGGAU